UUUUUUUUUUUUUAUAUUUAAAUAAUGAUGUAUGUAUAUAAAAUGUGCAAUGCAGAUAUGGAAUUUUGUAAUAUUAUGAUUGCUCAUUGUUUGAAGAAUCUUUAACGGGUAAUGACAAUUAUACAUCCCUAAUUGGUUACCUACUGAAAUAGUUGUGUCUGGUGGAGUGGACCUAGUGUCAUAAAUGAGUAAAGCAAUUUAUGAAUUAUUCUGACUCAAUUUAUUAAA
This 228-nucleotide unclassified non-coding RNA is filed under the name Hevea brasiliensis (rubber tree). Lineage: Eukaryota; Viridiplantae; Streptophyta; Magnoliopsida; Malpighiales; Euphorbiaceae. The record is from RNAcentral.